RNAcentral lists this long non-coding RNA (337 nucleotides) under Medicago truncatula (barrel medic). RNAcentral describes it as "long non-coding RNA (MTRU_LNC004509)". The record is from RNAcentral. Lineage: Eukaryota; Viridiplantae; Streptophyta; Magnoliopsida; Fabales; Fabaceae.
GGGAUUCAACUUCCCUGCAGUCGGAUUACACACAUUCGGGACAUCAGUAGUUUGAUCAAGAAUUGGCGUUGGUAUUUUAGUUAUAUAAUAAAAAAUAAAAUUUGCAUUUUUUGGACUGUUGGAUCAAUGUCAGAUGGUCGCCUAUGUCUCGAAUGUGUGCUCCCCUUGACCACAGGGAAUCAAAUUUCCUCUUGCAGCCACCCUCAUGGUCCCGAUUCGGUUAUUGGGAAGUCAACAACGUUCUACAUUGAUUGAAGCAAUGAUUGUAGUUGCAGACUAAUUUAAAACUAGUGUUGUAAAAUAGAGGCUACAGCGUAGUUAAAUUUGAACAAAUUCU